This 84-nucleotide transfer RNA is filed under the name Amoebophilaceae bacterium. RNAcentral's name for it is "tRNA-Leu". It matches the Rfam family "tRNA". From Rfam's summary of the family: Transfer RNA (tRNA) molecules are approximately 80 nucleotides in length. Their secondary structure includes four short double-helical elements and three loops (D, anti-codon, and T loops). Lineage: Bacteria; Pseudomonadati; Bacteroidota; Cytophagia; Cytophagales; Amoebophilaceae. The record is from RNAcentral.
GCGGAUGUGGCGGAAUUGGUAGACGCGCUAGACUUAGGAUCUAGUACCGAAUAAGGUGUGGGGGUUCGAGUCCCUUCAUCCGUA